RNAcentral lists this unclassified non-coding RNA (200 nucleotides) under soil metagenome. Its description in RNAcentral is "partial contains internal transcribed spacer 2 and large subunit ribosomal RNA". The record is from RNAcentral.
GGGGCUUUGCCGCCGUCAAAGGCCGGCUCCCCUCAAAUGCGUCGGUUGGGCCUCUGGGUCAAACUCGACUGGGCGUUGUACCAUCCUCGCUCCGGAGAGAACCCGCGCACCCCUUCCUCGACCCUGCCCCUGCCGCGGGCGGGUCAAUCGACCUUUUGAAAUCUGACCUCAAAUCAGGCAGGACUACCCGCUGAACUUAA